This 253-nucleotide ribosomal RNA is filed under the name uncultured bacterium. Its description in RNAcentral is "partial 16S ribosomal RNA". It matches the Rfam family "Bacterial small subunit ribosomal RNA", at positions 524 to 776 of the family's 1533-position model. The record is from RNAcentral.
UACGUAGGGUGCAAGCGUUAAUCGGAAUUACUGGGCGUAAAGCGCGCGCAGGCGGUUAUGUAAGACAGUUGUGAAAUCCCCGGGCUCAACCUGGGAACUGCAUCUGUGACUGCAUAGCUAGAGUACGGUAGAGGGGGAUGGAAUUCCGCGUGUAGCAGUGAAAUGCGUAGAUAUGCGGAGGAACACCGAUGGCGAAGGCAAUCCCCUGGACCUGUACUGACGCUCAUGCACGAAAGCGUGGGGAGCAAACAGG